RNAcentral lists this ribosomal RNA (580 nucleotides) under uncultured Verrucomicrobiota bacterium. RNAcentral describes it as "bacterial SSU rRNA". It matches the Rfam family "Bacterial small subunit ribosomal RNA", at positions 504 to 1083 of the family's 1533-position model. The record is from RNAcentral. Lineage: Bacteria; Pseudomonadati; Verrucomicrobiota.
CGUGCCAGCAGCCGCGGUAAUACGAAGGUCCCAAGCGUUAUUCGGAAUCACUGGGCGUAAAGGGAGCGUAGGCGGCGUGGUAAGUCAGAUGUGAAAUCCCGGGGCUCAACCCCGGAACUGCAUCCGAUACUGCCAUGCUAGAGGAUUGGAGAGGUAGCUGGAAUUCUUGGUGUAGCAGUGAAAUGCGUAGAGAUCAAGAGGAACACUCGUGGCGAAAGCGAGCUACUGGACAAUUCCUGACGCUGAGGCUCGAAGGCUAGGGUAGCGAAAGGGAUUAGAUACCCCUGUAGUCCUAGCAGUAAACGGUGCACGCUUGGUGUGAGGGGAAUCGACCCCCCUUGUGCCGGAGCUAACGCGUUAAGCGUGCCGCCUGGGAAGUACGGUCGCAAGACUAAAACUCAAAGAAAUUGACGGGGACCCGCACAAGCGGUGGAGUAUGUGGCUUAAUUCGAUGCAACGCGAAGAACCUUACCAAGGCUUGACAUGCAUCUCUAAACACGUGAAAGCGUGUGACCCUUCGGGGAAUUUGCACAGGUGCUGCAUGGCCGUCGUCAGCUCGUGUCGUGAGAUGUUGGGUUAA